UCUCCAAGAUCAGAUGCACAUUCCGUGGAAAUAGAUGUGCUCGAUGGCAGCAUCAGAAGGGAAUCGAUGUGCGGGGAGCUAGGAUUAGAUGAUGUUAAGCUGAGGAUUUUAUAGUCUGUUUUUCUUCUAGGAGAGUCAACAAUAGGCCGGGGUUGUUUCAUCUUCCUGAAUAAGCAAGCAGGUUAUUCUGAGAGCUGAUUGACAUAUGCAUGGGCAGAUGUUUUAUAAACUGCAUUCUCUACAAACUGAAGGGGCAAAUGUGAUGGAUUCCAAGGCUCCACAAGGUAGGAAUUAUUAUCCUGUGAACAGCUCAGGAGGCAGCUUUGAAGAGGUGAGGUCUUGCUCAAGGUCUCACAGUGAGGGUGGGUUGGUGUCCAGGUGUGAGUCCAAAGCUCAUGAACUUUGCACUGUGUCAGACCCUUUGCCAUCUGCAUUCUGAUCUUCAGCACUCAUGCCUUAUCCUGUGAUUCGGCUUGCCAAUUUUCCCCGUAUCUUGUUGCUGGCCUAGGAGAGAUUUGCUCAUUUAAGAUGCCAUUGACCUUACCUAAUAAAAAGAAUCAGGAACCAAGGAGUCUGUUUAAUUCAUUAUUAAAGAUCAUUUCCUGUUAUUAUCUUCCCUAUAGCAAAAUGAGCUGUUAACUCUCCUGUUAGCAUAACCCAGCCAGUAUUACUAGGAAAUUAGGAAAAAAUCAGUUUAAUGAUAUGUGCGCUGAGCCCAGGGAAUUCCCCAUCUUUGGCGCAUAUUAACAUUAUGCCUUAGAAGUCGAGGAAAUGUUCUGUUAAGUGGAAAAAGAGUUGCAGAAAUUUUACUUUUAAAAGUCAAGUAAAAAGUUACUUUUUUUUUUUCCCAAGUCAAAUUAAUUUUUGUCUCAGGGCAAGAAAAAGUAAAUUAAAAAUCACAUGCUGCCGCUUCCUCACAGGCCCCAUUUCCUCCUGGGUUUCUGUCCCUCUUGGCUGGAGUUUUGGGUUUCUCUGGCCCAGUUUGGGCCUCGGGGGACACCAGGCUUCAAGGGUUUCUGCUCCCGGGAACCUCUGGCCAUGGCAGGGUGGGGCAGCCUGCUCGUCUUCUACCUGUCUUCCCUUUGAGGUACUUCCCUUACUCCCGGGCAGUUGUGGGGGUGAGGAGGGAGCAAGGACUGAGACCCCGAUGAUUCAGGAAGGUCCUGUGUUGCAUGAUGUGGAGUGUGGUUGACCCCUGGAUGAGGGGUUGCUGGGACACCGAUCACCCCUCCCUCCACUGGGCAUUAACAUAUCAGCUGGCCAGGGGCUGGUGGCAGACUUUAGUAGCCUCCACCAGACUCCCACAAAGGGCAGAAAUUGUGCUGGUGUGACGUAAAUGAGGUGCCUAGUUAUGAGUGGGUACCCAGGAAGUGAGGAGCUCUGGACAAAAGGAGCAGGCAGUGAGCAGGUGUUUCAUGGUCAGGGGAAUACAGCACUUUAGAGCCCCGUGCUCACGUGUCUGAACCCAUAGGGGUGCCUGGGUAUAUGUGGGGGGAGACACAGCAGCCUGGCGUGGUCAAUGAGUCAUUGGGCUUGGAGUCCACAGACAUGUGGUGGAAUCCUAGCUCCUUGUGGCCUCGAGAAAAAUCACAAAACUGCUUUGGGCCUCCGCCUCCAUAUUUUCAGCUGGAAGAGAGACGUUUGCCAACCUUUUCAGGUUGUUGUUUUACAAACUGCAUUCUCUACAUAAUGAAGGGCGCAAAUAUGUGGUGAAGGUGGCAGGUGAUAACGUUUCUGGAGGCUUCACCACCAUGGAACUCCGAGAUCUCAGAACAGGCUGAGGGGACAGUGCUUGGCCAGGAUCACAGGAAAGGGGAGGCACUUGCGGAGUCCCUUCUGUGUGCCUGAAACCCUGUUAGGCUUACAACACAUUCGUUACAGGCUUAUGGGUUCUUGCAACUCAGGGAAUCUUGGGAAACCCAGUCAGGUGAUCAACUCAUCCCAGUUUGUCCAGAAUUUUCCUGAUUUUAUUAAUAAUAAUAAUUAAUAGCACUGUAAGUACCAUGACCUGGGAAACUUCCCAUUUCUUGGCAAAGUGGUCACUUUGCUGGUCAUCCUAUAAAUCUUUCUUGUUUUAAAGACUAGAGUUGGGGCAGAGACUAUCUGGCCCAAAGUUACAUGGUUAGGGACCACCUGACCUGUUUUUGAUGUGAACCAUGCUUUCUGGGCAAAGACAGAAUCCAGCUCACCUCCCACCAGCUCAAGCAGGACCCACACGCCACAUACAUGCAUCCAAAGAGAUGAAGUUUCCUUGGGCUCAUUUCACCUGUUGGUAUCUGACUUACAAUUGUUUUCUGUUAACUCCAUUAUCUUUAAUUUGCAAGAACGCAGCCAACAGGAAACCUCUGGAUGCUUUCUCUUUAAUGAAACACAAUUUGAUUACAAAUCAUCGGAGUCCCCUGGCAGACAGCCUUUUUUGGAGGAUUUUAGCCUGCCGUGGUCACACCAGCAUGAUUUCUGCCAUUUGUGGGAGUCCAGUGGGGGCUGCUGAAAUCCCCCACCAGGGGAGGUGGCCACCAGUCCCCCGUCAGCCCAUGUGUUAAUGCCAGCUGUUGAAAACACCCUCCCGCAUGGCCCUGUGGAUGAGGGGUGUUCUUUGUGGUUCCUUGGACACAGUGUGCCAGAAAUGCCUUCCAGGUUCACCAUACCAUUUUGAUUCAAUGUGCAAGGUUUAUUUUUUCUCAUAUCUACCAACAGACAUUAUCAUGGUCAAUGUCCAGCAGACCAGAUAUGGGGUGAUCAAUUGUUUGAAGGUAAAAGGUAAGAGCCAUGAAGCCAAGUUACAAGAACAUCUGUGUUUACUGGGACAUUGGAGAGCCUUAGCUCAUGGAUAUAUAAGGCGACUUGGGCAGCAUCAGCCUUAUAGGGCUGAAAGGCAACCCCCUGGGGCAGUAUCCUUAAUGCGGCAAUUUAUUAGACAUGGUGAGAGCAGGUCACACUGUUCCUGGGAGUGGAGUGGCGUGAUCAUGGCUCACUGCAGCCUCAACCUCCUCCCCAGGUUCAGGUGAUUCUCCCACCUUAGCCUCCCGAGUAGCUGUGACUACCGGCUGGGGCCACCACGCCCAGCUAAUUUUUGUAUUUUUAGUAGAGACGGGGUUCCACCAUAUUGCCCAGGCUGGUCUCAAACUCCUGGCCUCAAGCGAUACACCUGCCUCGGCCUACCAACAUGUUGGGAUUACAGGUGUGAUCUGGUUCUUUCUGAUUGAGGAGUCUGUCUGGGCUCAGGAGGAGGGUCUUGUCUGCAUAAGAAGAUGGAUGAAACUUUCUCAGUUCCUUCCUGACACCAACAAGAAGAAACAGAGUGUAGCAUAAGCACACGGAACACUGGUCAAAAGGACAGGUUCUAGUCCUCACCACACCAUGAACUGGCUGUGUGAUCUUGGGCAAGUCAUUUCUCUUCUCUGGUCCACUCAGUGUCUCCAUUUGACAUACUGGAGAAUUGAAUUUAUCUGUCUCUAGGAUCUUUCCCUUUCACCUCCUUCCAUGGUUUUCUAAGUACCAUCUCUUUAUUUCUUACUCGCACACAAUCUCACCUCUGCCUUCUAGCUAGAAUGCAUGUUUCUGAGGCCAAGCAUCUUCCCCGAGUGCUCCCUAGUAAGUGCCUCACACAUGUGGGAUCAGAGCCUGUGGUUGCAUAGCAGUAAAAUUAGCAUUACCUGCAGGUGGGGGUGAGGGGUUUCACCCCAUCCUCCAGCUUCUUAGAGGAGAAAAUAUUUUAAUGGUUGGAAACAACCUGGAUCUACACAAAAGGGCAUGAAAACAGCCACUUAAAUUCUACGUGCACUUGGCACUGCAAAGAUCAGAAAACUCCCAUCAAGAUAGAUGAUACGAAGAAAAAAAGCAUGAGCACUUUGCUUUAAUUUAACUCAAGAUGACACCUCCAUCAUCCCGUGGUCUGUAGUCUCGCGAGGGUCCCCGCUCCCUUUUGCACAUGCGUGGUGUGUGUUCACACGGACUCUUCUACAGCUUUGCAUCGCUGGGUUCACAGCAUUCCUCCUCUCCCUCAUUGGUUCCACACAUUCAGCCAUAGCUGUUUGUGACUUCUCUCCUUCUGCAAUUGUUUGAAAACAGUGUCAGAGCAUGGCUCCUUUAUCUUGCUGUGAUUGCUUUAUUUAUUUAUUUAUUUUUUUGAGAUGGAGUCUUGCUGUGUUGCCCAGGCUAGAGUGCAGUGGCACGAUCUCAGCUCACUGCAACCUUUGCCUCCUGGGUUCAAGUGAUUCUCCUGUCUCAGCCUCCCGAGUAACUGGGAUUAUAGGCAUGCACUACCACGCCUGGCUAAUUUUUUGUAUUUUUAGUAGAGACAGGGUUUCACCAUGUUGGCCAGGCUGCUCUUGAACUCCUGACCUCAAGUGAUCCGCCCACCUUGGCCUCCCAAAGUGCCGGGAUUACAGACAUGAGCCACAGUGCCUGGCCAUUGCUGCGAUUGGUUCUAAGAGUCUUUCUGCCCUUUUUUCUCUCUUCCUGCUAUGCUAACCCUCACGGGACUCAGAUUUCUUGGGAAAGUUGCACAGGAAUCAUCUACUUUGCAGGGUUAGAUAUCAGCCUUGCCUUGAAAGGCUGAGCAUCAUAAACAGUAACACACAGUCUGUUUUCUCUCCCAUACUCCCACCCUCCCACACCUCAUACUGAAUAUUUAAGAGGUAUUGAGCUUUGGGGAAAAGAAGGGAGGAGAUGUUGGGGAGGAGGUGUUCCUUGAUAUGAGAAAGCCCAUUUCCAGAGAAUCAGAAGACUUGAAUUCAAUUCUGCUGUCAGGGGUCAUGGGGAAGUCACUUUAUCAUCUGGGACUCAGUUUCCCCAUAUGAAAAAUUGUCAUGAAAAUAAGUAAACCAUAAAGUCCAUUUUAAACUCCAAAAUAGAGAGACCCUCCCUCUCCUUUUCUAAGACCUUACUUAGGGUGAGGUCCCAUCAAGGUUCUUUAUAACGUACCCCUUUUAUUUAUUUGAGAUAGAAUCUUGCCCUUGUUGCCCAAACUGGAGUGCAGUGGCACCAUCUUAGCUCACUGCAGCCUUGAACUCCGGGGCUCAAGCAACCCUCCCACCUUAGCCUCCAGAAUAGCUGGGACUAUGGGCAUGUACCAUGCCCAGCUAUUUUUUUUUCCAUAGAGAUGGGGUCUCCCUGUGUUGCCCAGGCUGGUCUCGAACUCCUGGCCUCAACUGAUCCUCCUGCCUCGGCCUCCCAAAGUGCUGGGAUUAUAGGCACGAGCCAACAGUCCCAGUCAUGCACUCCAUUUAAUCCUCAAAACAGCCCUUUGAGGGUGGUGUUAUUAGCCUCAUUUUACAAAUGGGGCAACCAAGGUUCAGAGAGGUUAAUGGACCUGCCCAGUGAAAAAGUUUAUGAAGCCAGAGACCAAAUCCAGAAUUUUCUAACUCCAGCACCCAUGUUUCUAACUCUAGAGAUUUUUCUAACUCUACCCUCUCAAAUAUGAUGAGACUUUGGUGGUACUCUCAGGAAAACUGCUGAGAAAAUGUUGCUUGAUUUCCCUGCCCCCAUUUGCACAAUGGGUUCUAUGUCAUGGAGAACUUUCCUUUCAAAAAAUUUCCAAAGGACAAGUGAUGCAUUAUGUCUUCCAUUUUUGGCAACUUCACACAAUAACCUUAACAGCCUCUUGGCUUCCAUCUCCCAGGGAUGGCAUUUCAAGUAUGCCUGGUCAUGGAGUGCCUGUGGUUUAAAAUUUUAAUGGAAGACCCUUACCCCCAUCUGUCUUGAUUCGCUGUUGCCCUGUCCCUGGCUUCCUGGUGGUCACUGAGCUCUGCGGGCCCCCCUUCCCCCAGCCCGUCUCCUCCUGCCAUUGAGAGGGGCUGUUCUCUUUCCCAAGCGGCAAGCCCCUGAUUCUUUUAGCACAGCCAAUGGGCUCCACUGGGGCUUUCAAGCUUGCUGGCAAUUUUGGAUGUCAGCAGCUGGGAAAAUCAAGCUUAAUAUUUCAUGACAUUACAAAGUCAGUUUGUUCUAUUUUCAUCCCAGAUAGAGUGAAAAAGCAGUGUUCUCAUCAGGAGACUCUCCCAAAAAAGUGGGAGGCAGUUGGUCUGGGAGCCACAGCAGGUUGGCGGGGAGUACUGGGCAGGCGGUCAGCAUUUGGAUGCUCUGGUUUUGGCUUGACAGCCAACUAGCAGUUGACCUUCGGCGAGUGAUUCUCUCUCUGAGCUUUGACUUCCUCCUGCACAAAUAAACGAUCUCUCAGACCUUGUCAAGAAUAACUUUAGACUUUGCUGGGAAUGCAAUAUCUUCUGACAAGGAGGAGUUGGCUGGAACAGCCUGGGCUCUGUACCUGUCCCUCAGAUGUCCUUUGGUGCUUUAGCCCAGUGACUCAUCGAUCUCCCAGCCAUGGUUGAAGACAUGCCUGUUUCCCCUUCGCCAUCUGCCAUGACUGUAAGCUUCCUGAGGCCUUCCCAGUCAUGCUUCCUGUAUAGCCUGUGGAAACAUGCGCCAAUUAAAACCUCUUUUCUUUAUAAAUUA
Molecule: long non-coding RNA, 6453 nt
Organism: Homo sapiens (human)
Lineage: Eukaryota; Metazoa; Chordata; Mammalia; Primates; Hominidae
Exons: 4
Source: RefSeq, a predicted model, not a curated record